UUUCCGUAGGUGAACCAGCGGAGGGAUCAUUACCGAGUUUACAACCCCCAAACCCAAUGUGAACCAUACCAAACUGUUGCCUCGGCGGGGUCACGCCCCGGGUGCGUCGCAGCCCCGGAACCAGGCGCCCGCCGGAGGGACCAACCAAACUCUUUCUGUAGUCCCCUCGCGGACGUUAUUUUUACAGCUCUGAGCAAAAAUUCAAAAUGAAUCAAAACUUUCAACAACGGAUCUCUUGGUUCUC
RNAcentral lists this unclassified non-coding RNA (244 nucleotides) under plant metagenome. Its description in RNAcentral is "partial contains small subunit ribosomal RNA, internal transcribed spacer 1, and 5.8S ribosomal RNA". The record is from RNAcentral.